CCUACGGGAGGCAGCAGUGGGGAAUAUUGGGCAAUGGGCGCAAGCCUGAACCAGCAACGCCGCGUGAAGGAAGAAGGCUUUCGGGUUGUAAACUUCUUUUCACAGGGACGAAGCAAGUGACGGUACCUGAGGAAUAAGCCAAGGCUAACUACGUGCCAGCAGCCGCGGUAAUACGUCGGUUGCAAGCGUUAUCAGGAUUUACUGGGUGUAAAGGGCGUGUAGGCGGGGACGCAAGUCAGAUGUGAAAACCACGGGCUCAACCUGUGGCCUGCAUUUGAAACUGUGUUUCUUGAGUACUGGAGAGGCAGACGGAAUUCCUAGUGUAGCGGUGAAAUGCGUAGAUAUCAGGAGGAACACCAGUGGCGAAGGCGGUCUGCUGGACAGCAACUGACGCUGAGGCGCGAAAGCGUGGGGAGCAAACAGGAUUAGAUACCCGAGUAGUC
Molecule: ribosomal RNA, 443 nt
Filed under: uncultured bacterium
Lineage: Bacteria
Description: partial 16S ribosomal RNA
Rfam family: Bacterial small subunit ribosomal RNA
Source: RNAcentral